Molecule: ribosomal RNA, 497 nt
Filed under: uncultured bacterium
Lineage: Bacteria
Description: partial 16S ribosomal RNA
Rfam family: Bacterial small subunit ribosomal RNA
Source: RNAcentral
GAUGAACGCUGGCGGCGUGCCUAAUACAUGCAAGUCGAGCGAACAGACGAGGAGCUUGCUCCUCUGACGUUAGCGGCGGACGGGUGAGUAACACGUGGAUAACCUACCUAUAAGACUGGGAUAACUUCGGGAAACCGGAGCUAAUACCGGAUAAUAUAUUGAACCGCAUGGUUCAAUAGUGAAAGACGGUUUUGCUGUCACUUAUAGAUGGAUCCGCGCCGGAUUAGCUAGUUGGUAAGGUAACGGCUUACCAAGGCGACGAUGCGUAGCCGACCUGAGAGGGUGAUCAGCCACACUGGAACUGAGACACGGUCCAGACUCCUACGGGAGGCAGCAGUAGGGAAUCUUCCGCAAUGGGCGAAAGCCUGACGGAGCAACGCCGCGUGAGUGAUGAAGGUCUUCGGAUCGUAAAACUCUGUUAUUAGGGAAGAACAAAUGUGUAAGUAACUAUGCACGUCUUGACGGUACCUAAUCAGAAAGCCACGGCUAACUACGUG